Molecule: ribosomal RNA, 411 nt
Filed under: uncultured bacterium
Lineage: Bacteria
Description: bacterial SSU rRNA
Rfam family: Bacterial small subunit ribosomal RNA
Source: RNAcentral
UAUUGGUCAAUGGGCGGGAGCCUGAACCAGCCAAGUCGCGUGAGGGAAGACGGUCCUAUGGAUUGUAAACCUCUUUAGGCGGGGAGCAAUGCCGGGCACGCGUGCCCGGAGGGAGAGUACCCGCAGAAUAAGCAUCGGCUAACUCCGUGCCAGCAGCCGCGGUAAUACGGAGGAUGCGAGCGUUAUCCGGAUUUAUUGGGUUUAAAGGGUGCGUAGGCGGAUUCUUAAGUCAGCGGUAAAAUGUCCGGGCUCAACCCGGGCCGGCCGUUGAAACUGGCAGUCUCGAGUUGGAGAGAAGUAUGCGGAAUGCGCGGUGUAGCGGUGAAAUGCAUAGAUAUCGCGCAGAACUCCGAUUGCGAAGGCAGCAUGCCGGCUCCACACUGACGCUGAGGCACGAAAGCGUGGGUAUCG